This 162-nucleotide unclassified non-coding RNA is filed under the name fungal sp. Its description in RNAcentral is "partial internal transcribed spacer region". The stretch from base 1 to 46 matches the Rfam family "Eukaryotic small subunit ribosomal RNA", at positions 1786 to 1831 of the family's 1831-position model. Lineage: Eukaryota; Fungi. The record is from RNAcentral.
AAGUCAUAACAAGGUUUCCGUAGGUGAACCUGCGGAAGGAUCAUUAGAGAUUGCCGAAAGGCUUAUAUUUAAACAUUGUGAACUUGGCUCCGGCCUAGACUUUUUGUAUUGAAAGCAUAAAUGAGAAUGAAACAACUUUCAACAACGGAUCUCUUGGCUCUC